Molecule: ribosomal RNA, 354 nt
Filed under: uncultured bacterium
Lineage: Bacteria
Description: bacterial SSU rRNA
Rfam family: Bacterial small subunit ribosomal RNA
Source: RNAcentral
AGUGAACGCUGGGCGGCAGGCCUAAUACAUGCAAGUCGAACGGCAGCACGGGGCAACCUGGUGGCGAGUGGCGAACGGGUGAGUAAUACAUCGGAACGUGCCCAGUCGUGGGGGAUAACGUAGCGAAAGCUACGCCUAAUACCGCAUACGAUCUACGGAUGAAAGCGGGGGACUCGCAAGAGCCUCGCGCGAUUGGAGCGGCCGAUGGCAGAUUAGGUAGUUGGUGAGGUAAAGGCCCACCAAGGCGACGAUCGGUAGCUGGUCUGAGAGGACGACCAGCCACACUCGGAACUGAGACACGGUCCAGACUCCUACGGGAGGCAGCAGUGGGGAAUAUUGGACAAUGGGCGCAAG